AUUGAACGCUGGCGGCAGGCCUAACACAUGCAAGUCGAGCGGAUGAAGGGAGCUUGCUCCUGGAUUCAGCGGCGGACGGGUGAGUAAUGCCUAGGAAUCUGCCUGGUAGUGGGGGAUAACGUCCGGAAACGGGCGCUAAUACCGCAUACGUCCUGAGGGAGAAAGUGGGGGAUCUUCGGACCUCACGCUCUCAGAUGAGCCUAGGUCGGAUUAGCUAGUUGGUGGGGUAAAGGCCUACCAAGGCGACGAUCCGUAACUGGUCUGAGAGGAUGAUCAGUCACACUGGAACUGAGACACGGUCCAGACUCCUACGGGAGGCAGCAGUGGGGAAUAUUGGACAAUGGGCGAAAGCAUGAUCCAGCCAUGCCGCGUGUGUGAAGAAGGUCUUCGGAUUGUAAAGCACUUUAAGUUGGGAGGAAGGGCAGUAAGUUAAUACCUUGCUGUUUUGACGUUACCAACAGAAUAAGCACCGGCUAACUUCGUG
This 484-nucleotide ribosomal RNA is filed under the name uncultured bacterium. Its description in RNAcentral is "partial 16S ribosomal RNA". It matches the Rfam family "Bacterial small subunit ribosomal RNA", at positions 30 to 507 of the family's 1533-position model. The record is from RNAcentral.